Molecule: RNA transcript, 7055 nt
Organism: Drosophila yakuba
Lineage: Eukaryota; Metazoa; Arthropoda; Insecta; Diptera; Drosophilidae
Exons: 3
Source: RefSeq, a predicted model, not a curated record
GUACUAUAUAUACGGGUCAGCUCAGCCCAAGUUGAGCGCAGAAGAAACAUUCGAAUAAAGUAACUCUAACUGAGCAGACGCUCUGACUCUAAAAAUACUGAACCUUCUUUGGGAUCCUUGCGAACAUCAUAACACUGUUGUCGUUCUUAAACGCCUCAGUUCAAGCAACUCGUUCUUUGCUCCAACAAAGUUAGUUGCGUUGUGGAACCAAAUUUGUCGUGGCCUCCUUCUUGUGCAUAUAAACCGUUUUAGGCCGUGCAAGAAAGCAACUGUAGAAAGAUCCUUAAUUAGCUCCAAAUGUAUGCAAAACAAAUAAAUUAGGCGAGGUUUCGUUCGAAAAUACCUGACGCACUUGUAUACUGCCCUUUUUACGGUGUUUGGGGGAAGGCCCCAAAAGGCCAAUAUUGGUAUCAAAUUAUGCUGAGAAGAGCACGAGGACCAGUAGGUCGCGCUAAUGAGCGUGAUUUAUAAUGACCACAGUAACUGGGUGAUUCUUUGGUAUGAUGAUUGGGUGGCGGUCAUUGAAAUUCAACGAAAGGUUCUUCAACCGACCAUCUAAUCGAAGAAGCCCAACUUGGUGAAUGAAGUUUGACAGCGAGGCAAGUGGACUAGACGGCUUACAAGGAUUAAUAUAUAUAUAUAUUCCAUAACUGAGCACGGUCAACCAGACACAGCAACAGAUGAGUCCCACUUUCAGUGGGAAGCCAGUUUAGGCUACUUACUACUACUACUUACUUACUACUUUUUGUAACCAAUCAGUUAUGGGGGGUCCAUAGGCCUACAAAAAUCUCUAAUACAGAGCUUGGAGAAGGGGUGAAUCGUGGGAACGAGGUAUGCCGAUUUUACUACAGCAUAUAAGUAUCGUGCCAUUCUGAAUCUUUUCCUUGCACAGCAGCUGAAGAAAAAUCUUAGACUUUGUGAUUUCUGGCCGACCAAACCAAAAGGAUCGUAGAAUCGAGAGAUUGCGGAUAAAACUGAACGUCGGAAAGGCCUUGGAAUUGAUUGAAGCCUUGAAAAUUAAAUCAACACCGGAUUUCACGGUCAGCGUGAUACAAAGCAAGGCGUAGCGUUCUUGUAAAAUCGCCUCCAUCGUCAAACUUCAAGUAGGACUCCUUAUCAUCUUCCAAAACGCCUUCCAAAACAGCCUGUACAUUUGAACACCACUUCCUUAGUAUAAAAUUGCCUCUGGAAAAGAGCGCGGACGUCUGCUGCAUUAUGUUGAUGGCUUCUUUUUUGGAGCUGGCGAUAUCAAAUCAUCAUCAUAAAAGUCACGGCAAAGAAUCUCAGCACCCACUGGAAAGGUUACCUCCUCAUCCCUAGACAACUGAUUCAUCGACCUCACAGCUAGGUAAGAAGCAGGCUUCGUACCAUACUUAACAGUAUCCAGCUUAAACACCCUCAGAUCAUCUUGAGGAGAAUCUCUCCACAAAAUGCACUGGAGUAGCUAUCCUCAGGCGAAACCCUGACACACCGGUACAUAUUACAGAUGUCCCCAGUGAUUGCAAUUGAAUGCGAGCAAAAACGAAGAAGAACCUUGAAUAGUUUUGGGUGAAUCAUUGGACUAAGCCAUCAAAACAUCGUUUAAGGAGUAUCCUGAAGAAGUUGACUCCGAUUCAUUAAAAACGACGCGAUGCUUUGUGGGGGUGCUUUCCUCUUUCUUGAAACAAUGAUGACAGGAAUUGGAUUUUUCUGUCGGAACUUCUGGCAUAAGUUCCACCUGCAAGUACUCGUUAAUGAAAGCCUUGCAUUGGACUUUGACAGCUGGACGAUGCUGUUUUUGUGUAUUUUUCUCUCAAGAGCUAGGAAUAUUUGCAGAGCUUGCUGGUAGGACUCCCAUAACGGAUCUAAACUGAACUUGGCUGGCAAUCGAACAGAAUUAUCCCCAGCCGGCAAGCGAGCAAAGUGUUUAACAAACGCUUUACAGUCAAGCUCUUGUCAAGUAGCCCGGACAAUGGGCACGGCGCAACUCUCCACCUUCCAAAACUGCCGCAGCAGAACCACAAGACGAUCCAGUUGGCUUUCCACAUUAGGCGGAACAAUAGCGCACGGCGAUAUUAAAGCCUUUUCAUUGGAGCGACUGCAGCCUCCGGAAACAACCCAGCCUAAACGUGUAUUUAUAACUGUACGUAUAACUCUGGAUCCGCAAGCUUCAGGUUUUGGGGUAUGUUUCAGUUACAAACUUCGAUGUUAAAGUUGGCCUGUUGUUCGGCUAUAUUGUAUGCAAUGACAGCAGUGAUAGAAGUCAAGUACUCGGAGGUUCGAGAUCGCAAUGUUAAGUUAACUGACAAACCAUCUGUCUUAAAACUAGACUUACCUAUACCGGUAACACAAGCGGACGACUUUGGUAGCAAUGUGAGCAAUAAGAGCUGAAGAUGGACCAUGAUCUCAUGAUCAAAUGAAUUUGAGGCCAGUAAGCUGAGAUCUUUCGUGUGACCAUAACGAGGCUAAGGUUCCCAAGUAAAGCAGAGUGUGGUGCUUGGAUUCGCAGGCGCAGGAGUUGCACUUUUUUAUGUUUGAAAGGUCAGAAUGGCUAUCUAUUAUCGUCGUGUAUAUAGAAUAAAAAUCCAGGCAGUUAGCACGACCUUCAGUGAAUUUUGGUACCUGAAGAGGGGGCAGCGACGGUGCCCUGUUCCGGAGUGAACGUUUCUGUUGGCUACAAUCACACGGAAAAAUGCCGUCAGCGAAGGUACGAGAAUAAGGUUUUAGGAGUUAUGAGAGCAUCAUCAAAUUUCUUACUCAAAUUGCUUUUAUUUUGAUCCAAAUUAAGCUCGUUCAAUAUUUUUUGAAACGUUUGUUGCAACUCAUCGAUCAGCUCCAACCUCACAUGUAGAACGGAAUUGUCCAAUGAAGUUAAUCUUGAUAAAGAAUCCGCUAAUCGUUCCAUAAUGUUAAAUAUGGCAGUCGCCGUGCGCCUCAAAAAUUUCACCCUGUUUGCAUCAGCCGUAACGUUUCCAGAAUUUUUAGCAGCCAUGGUAAUAACAACAAAUUCGGUUUAAGCGGAAAGAUGAGUGCAAAGAAAAAUCAGCAUCAGCUUCCGUUAUUUGUCUUUAAUCUUUAAUUUCAGUUAGCAGUAUCAACGAAGUUUAAGUUUUAAUCAGCUUUUUAUAAUUUGCACUAAUACUGCAUAUAUAUAAAUCACGUAGAGGUCACCAAAAUGUUGAGGUAAUAAGACUUCUUUAUCCCUUCUUGCAAAUGUAAAAAAAACAAUUUCUGUGGUAGCGAAUUUAAGCGAUUUUAUUUACUUUUUUCUUAGAACAAGAUGCGUAACGCCAUACGAUUUUUUUGGACACGAUUUUUUUGUGCUGGCUCCGGCUCUUUCGAAUUUUUGUUCAAAAGCCAGAGAGCGGAGAGCUCUAGAACCAGCAGCUCUCUUGUACGCAUAUAGUGGCACAUGACCACAUAUAGUGGCACAUGCCCUCCCCGUGGGGAGUAGCUAAUUUGAACGGCGAUUUUAACAAACGAAUUUUUUCAAAAAAAAAUCUUCUUUCAAAAAAGACAUCACGAUAUCAAUUUUUAAAAAUUAUAUCAUUAGAUCAUAUUGAAAUUGACCAAAACCAUAAUCAAAUUCGUUUCAAAGAUCAAAAUAGAUUUCGGAUCGAAAAUCGUGUUCUAGCACAGGCACGCACACACAAGCAAAUCUAUUUAUAGAUUUUAACGCUCUCAACUUUUUGCGAACGGACUAUUUAAGCCGUCGCCAAAUGUGUUAUUCUAAUGUCUUUGGCCUUUGGCCAGAUAGAAUUUUUCAGUUAGUGAAGUCUGCCCUUAAGGCUAGACAACCAACAAAAAAUACUGCCUUUGCUGGAGUAAGUUUCUCGAGCAAAUGCUGACACUAGCAAAAACAGCAUAUCUCCCCAUACCCGGAAACCAAUGGGAACCAGCCACGGCCCCCAAAGGCGUGUAUCUGUAUUUGCGUAUAAAAAUAGUCUUAUAUCGACUUAAUUUUACUCAUUAACAAUGAUCUUGUUAACUGCUUCUGUUAAUUCGUUAAUUUUGUUCUGAGUUUGUGUAUUAAUGACUAUGAUGUACUUUCAAUACGGACAAUAAACUUCUAAUGUGGCCUUUGUCGACGUCUAACAACUUUCGCAUAUGUGACUCUGGAAAUAACUCAAACACUCUACUAGUUUCUUCUAACGCCUUUUCGAAUUCGGACAGGUUACUCAAAUGCCUGGGGCCUCGUAGUGUAGUGGAUAGCGCAACUAGCUGUUAAACACGAGGUCGUGGGUUCAAACCCCACCCAUGACGAGCAUGGCCACACAAACUUUCUUCUCAAAAAAAAGCUUACUUUUGCCCAACCGCCUCACACCCUCUCCACGCUAUAAGGAUUAAAACGGGGUCCCCCACAUAGUUACCAAGUGCACUCUGUGUUCUGCGAACAGCAACAACACCCAGCAGGGCAUGACGCGCGUUACCAGACUGGUCGCUUUUCUACGAUUAGCAACAUCACCGUAGACGCUACUCCCCGAUGACGUUAAGUGGCAAGCGCCACCACUGGGAUAAGCCGCAUCUGGCCAAUCACCAGAUCGGUCGAAAAACUUAAUCGAUUAUCGAAACAAAUACGAGAGAGUUGGGCUCUCGUAGAAGCCCUAAGUUCCCGAGAGAAAUAGGAAGGAAUUAAUAAAAAAAAAAAUUUCAGUGCCUAAUCCAAUUUCUUUGCUCUCACACCAGUUCAACACCUUUUGUUAAUGUAUUUGGCAUAAAAAUAGUACAGUAUAGCAAUUAUGCUUAUAUAUAAGGUGCAUGAAAAAGAGUAUUAAAAUUGCGGGAAAUGUAAAUUUGAGAGGGAUUUGGUUGCCCCUAUGACCCACCCUCCCUCUAAUGAGGAUAGAAGUUCCGUCUUCCUUUUGUUGUUUCUGAGGUAAAUCUUUUCGCCUACCCCAAAAAUUUGGUUUUGUCUAGUAGGGUUGCACCCAUCUAGGUUAGCCUGUUGCGCUUUUACGAUACUAUUUUUUAUUGUCAGUCUGUGAGCGUCCCUGCAAAUUAUAAGGCAUAUUGCGGUUGAAAACUUUUGACCGUUACCGGUUGCCACUGAUUGCUUGCCGUCCCUGGCUGUAUAUAGUUUCUACUCGCUACGAAUUGCAACGGCUAGCUCAGAGAGUUUGUUUGUUCGUCCCACCAAUUUAUGAUUUGUGUGAUUGUUCGACCAAAGAGAAGUCAGAGUUUCAGAUUUAAUCCACCUUUAUUCAGUGACGCUUGAUAAAGAUAAUUCUGUGAUCCUCGCCUUCGGAUGCGAGUCGUAGCUCCAUCGUUGUUCUUAUUUGCUGGUCCCGCGUCGCUCUCGACGGCGUACCCGUGCCGGCUCGACUGGGGCUUUGGAUGUUAUGGGGACAGGGUGUAUCGUCCGUGAGAUCACGUAGAGCUUCUCCCCGAACCACCGUUGUCGACUCCAAAGUCUCCACAGUCCCUUCUUGCGUAAGCCAGGCACUUGUUGCCCUUACCAAAGGACCAACCUGCGGGCUCGGCCGGGGCUUAGGAUGUUAUGGGGCAGGGUGUAUCGUCCGUGAGAUCAGCUAGAGCUUCUCCCCUAACCACCUUUCUGACCACGCCAGGUCCUGGUGCUUGCUUGUCCUUGGCUUGUUCUUGCUUGCGGAGAUCCUCUUCGGCGCUCGCUUGUACUUUAACUUGUUCCGGGUUUUGUUCCGCGUACUUCACUUGUUCACUAUUCUUGUUCACUAUGCUGAUCGACUGAUACUCUGCGGGUAUUUUCUUUACUGACUGUCUGUCUGUAUGGCACUUUCCUAACUGACUGUCCCGCGGGAAUCCCGUUAUUUCCCUUUUUGCGCAUGGCUCACUCGGGUACACGGUCCAACUUAUGUCCCGUUAGUUCACGGUGUGUCCUCUUUGUGCUUGUACCAAGACCAUACCGUUACCGUACGACCUUUGCGCCUUUGGCUGGUUCGAGUCCAAGGUCCAGCGCGGUACCGUUAGUUUACGGUGUGUCGUCUUUGUGCUUGUACCAAGACCAUAUGGUUACCGUACGACCUUUGCGCCCUUGGCCGGUUCGAGUCCAAGGUCCAGCGCGGUACCGUUAGUUCACGGUCUCUCCGCUUUGCCGGGGUCCAAGGUCCAUUGUUUACAGUUUGACCUGACCGCCCUUGACCCUUCUCGCAUUCCAGCCGUCUUCGCUGUUGCCAUGCCGAUUUCCUACACCAGGAUUUGUGGUGAGUUUUAAGACUCCUCACAUUUCCCCCCUUCGUUCUCAGCCUGGCAGUCGCAGUCUAUUAGACCCCGUCUUUCAGCUUCUUGACUUGGCAUCUCGAACAUCCUUGCGCCUUCCUGAUUGCAGCCGGCGUCUGACCCUGUCUUUCAGCAUCUCGACGUGGCAUGGACCGCCCAUCGACCGCUAUUAUCGUAGCGCCCCCAUCCCAAUUUUCUGGGUUUCACGUGGUUUCUGGUGUUGCUGCACAAUGGAGCUCCACCCACUCGAUGAAUGCUCCUGCAUGCUCCGGGGCUUGCCCACCUCGUUUCCGCGCCUGCUGCAGCCUGGCAUCGACUUGCCGGCCCGCGUGCCUGGCCCCGCUUCGCGUGCCUGGCCCCGCUUCGCGUGCCUGGCCCCGCGUCCGCCCUUGGCUGCUGCGGAUGUUUUCGCACCUCUUUUUUCUACAAGUCAGCUAUGUUGUGCGGUGCCUUCGGCUGCUCUUGUUGUUGUGGCGCCGGCGGCGGCGUCGGCUGCCCCUGUUGCUGCGGCGUCGGUAGUGGUGGUGGCUGCGAUGGCAGCGGUGGUGUCGGCGGCAACGAUGGCUGCGUGUGCGGCACCGGCGUCUGUGGCUGCGGUAACGGUGGCUGCAUUAAUGGCGGUUGCGGCAACGACGGUGGUGGGUGUGGUGCCCACAGCGCUUCCUCCUCCUCCUGCCACCCUGCUAGUCGCUCUUGCCACGCGGCGGUGGUGGAUGAUGAUUGCUACACCCAAAGGUUUUAUUAUAGAGUCCCUCCUGAAUUUACACUGUCUAAAGAUGUGUUUAGACAUGAUAAGUAGACAAACUAUAAAUAUGUUCUAUUUAUGGGCUGCAAUAAACAUGGCACGGGACAACAUAAGUAGCAACUACAGAUAAGUACGA